UACGGGGGGAGCAAGCGUUGUUCGGAUUUACUGGGCGUAAAGGGCGCGUAGGCGGCGCAACAAGUCACUUGUGAAAUCUCCGGGCUUAACUCGGAAAGGUCAAGUGAUACUGUUGUGCUAGAGUGCGGAAGGGGCAACUGGAAUUCUCGGUGUAGCGGUGAAAUGCGUAGAUAUCGAGAGGAACACCUGCGGCGAAGGCGGGUUGCUGGGCUGACACUGACGCUGAAGCGCGAAAGCUAGGGGAGCAAACAGG
This 253-nucleotide ribosomal RNA is filed under the name uncultured bacterium. RNAcentral's name for it is "partial 16S ribosomal RNA". It matches the Rfam family "Bacterial small subunit ribosomal RNA", at positions 524 to 776 of the family's 1533-position model. The record is from RNAcentral.